AUACUUAAGAUUGGAGAAGUCACGACUUGUUUAGAUUAAAUUGUGAAAUAAGGGGAAAUUUAUCUUGGUCACAUCUCUACUUCUUUAGUUUCUCCCUCUCAUUGUGAGGGCCCUUUCUUUCUUUCCCCUUUGUCCUUGGCUUCUCACAUGUGCCUUCUUUCUGGUCUUGGAUGCCUGUAGCAUUUUACAAAGCUCCUCCAUUUCUGCUGAAUUGUUGAAAUCAAAUGAAGACUCAUACGGGAGAAAAGAUCCAAAUCAGCCAAGUUUUCUCAUAACUGCCUCCACUUAAGGAGGAUCUCUGGCCAAACCAAGUAGAGAAGAUAACCAUCAUGCUUCAGUACAAACCACCUCUUCCUCCAACCCUUCAGGAGCCCCGAGUUAGUCCGUUUGUGUAGAUAGCCACGACAGGUAGGCCAGGGGGUAUUGGGGCAGCGACUGAUGUCUG
Antechinus flavipes (yellow-footed antechinus) is the source of this 445-nucleotide long non-coding RNA. RefSeq lists it as uncharacterized. The record is from RefSeq and is a predicted model, not a curated record. The transcript has 3 exons. NCBI's taxonomy places the organism in Eukaryota, Metazoa, Chordata, Mammalia, Dasyuromorphia, Dasyuridae.